UACGGAGGGGGCUAGCGUUGUUCGGAAUUACUGGGCGUAAAGCGCACGUAGGCGGCUUUGUAAGUUAGAGGUGAAAGCCUGGGGCUCAACUCCAGAAUUGCCUUUAAGACUGCAUCGCUUGAAUCAUGGAGAGGCGGGUGGAAUUCCGAGUGUAGAGGUGAAAUUCGUAGAUAUUCGGAAGAACACCAGUGGCGAAGGCGGCCCGCUGGACAUGUAUUGACGCUGAGGUGCGAAAGCGUGGGGAGCAAACAGG
RNAcentral lists this ribosomal RNA (253 nucleotides) under uncultured bacterium. RNAcentral describes it as "partial 16S ribosomal RNA". It matches the Rfam family "Bacterial small subunit ribosomal RNA", at positions 524 to 776 of the family's 1533-position model. The record is from RNAcentral.